RNAcentral lists this ribosomal RNA (252 nucleotides) under uncultured bacterium. RNAcentral describes it as "partial 16S ribosomal RNA". It matches the Rfam family "Bacterial small subunit ribosomal RNA", at positions 525 to 776 of the family's 1533-position model. The record is from RNAcentral.
ACGAGGGGUGCUAGCGUUGUUCGGAAUCACUGGGCGUAAAGGGUACGCAGGCGGUACAGCAAGUCGAUUGUGAAAGCCCCAGGCUCAACCUGGGAACUGCGGUCGAAACUGCUGAACUAGAGUAUGUUCGGGGAUAGUGGAAUUCCUAGUGUAGGGGUGAAAUCCGUAGAUAUUAGGAGGAAUACCGGUGGCGAAAGCGACUAUCUAGACCAUUACUGACGCUGAGGUACGAAAGCGUGGGGAGCAAACAGG